Molecule: transfer RNA, 85 nt
Filed under: Felis catus (domestic cat)
Lineage: Eukaryota; Metazoa; Chordata; Mammalia; Carnivora; Felidae
Also listed under: 3 other names
Rfam family: tRNA
About the family: Transfer RNA (tRNA) molecules are approximately 80 nucleotides in length. Their secondary structure includes four short double-helical elements and three loops (D, anti-codon, and T loops). Further hydrogen bonds mediate the characteristic L-shaped molecular structure. tRNAs have two regions of fundamental functional importance: the anti-codon, which is responsible for specific mRNA codon recognition, and the 3' end, to which the tRNAs corresponding amino acid is attached (by aminoacyl-tRNA synthetases). tRNAs cope with the degeneracy of the genetic code in two manners: having more than one tRNA (with a specific anti-codon) for a particular amino acid; and 'wobble' base-pairing, i.e. permitting non-standard base-pairing at the 3rd anti-codon position.
Source: Rfam by way of RNAcentral
GCCUGGGUGGCUCAGUCGGUUGAGCAUCUGACUUCAGCUCAGGUCAUGGUCUCACGGUUUGUGGGUUCGAGCCCCACAUCAGGCU